RNAcentral lists this ribosomal RNA (447 nucleotides) under bacterium Ellin5011. RNAcentral's name for it is "bacterial SSU rRNA". It matches the Rfam family "Bacterial small subunit ribosomal RNA", at positions 28 to 492 of the family's 1533-position model. The record is from RNAcentral. Lineage: Bacteria; Bacillati; Actinomycetota; Actinomycetes; Kitasatosporales; Streptomycetaceae.
GACGAACGCUGGCGGCGUGCUUAACACAUGCAAGUCGAACGAUGAACCACUUCGGUGGGGAUUAGUGGCGAACGGGUGAGUAACACGUGGGCAAUCUGCCCUCCACUCCGGGACAAGCCCUGGAAACGGGGUCUAAUACCGGAUAUCACUCCUGCCUGCAUGGGCGGGGGUUGAAAGCUCCGGCGGUGGAGGAUGAGCCCGCGGCCUAUCAGCUUGUUGGUGAGGUAAUGGCUCACCAAGGCGACGACGGGUAGCCGGCCUGAGAGGGCGACCGGCCACACUGGGACUGAGACACGGCCCAGACUCCUACGGGAGGCAGCAGUGGGGAAUAUUGCACAAUGGGCGCAAGCCUGAUGCAGCGACGCCGCGUGAGGGAUGACGGCCUUCGGGUUGUAAACCUCUUUCAGCAGGGAAGAAGCGCAAGUGACGGUACCUGCAGAAGAAGCG